UGGGGGCUUCAUUGAGUUUUUCCUUUCUUUCUUUAAACUUACUUUCAUUAAUAUUCUUUCAAGUUUCUUGGGGUGAGAAACUUGGGUUGGUCCAAGCCUUGAAUUGGAUGCUUGUAGUGGUUUGAUUGGUAAGCCAAGGUUAAAAUAAAUUAGGAUUGAUUGUUAGUCCAGAAAAAUAAUCAUUGUACAAUUGUGAUUGGAGAGUCAAGAUUAAAACUAAUUGGGUUG
Molecule: long non-coding RNA, 228 nt
Filed under: Elaeis guineensis (African oil palm)
Lineage: Eukaryota; Viridiplantae; Streptophyta; Magnoliopsida; Arecales; Arecaceae
Description: long non-coding RNA (EGUI_LNC063765)
Source: RNAcentral